CUCAUUUGAAAUUUCAUAAAUAAAAAAGAAAAUUUCUUCAAACAUUUUUUUGAGAGGAUUAAUAUUCAACAGCAUAGUGAAUUGCUCUAAGAGAAAACAAAAAUUUUAAGUUCAUUAGAACACAUUCAUUCUGUGUCAAAAACCUAUGCUGUGUCAACUAUUUAAUCACAAUCCAAAUUUAGAGCUGAAUCCAGCUUGAAUGUUGUGUCCAUACUUGCCCCAACCGUUCAGGGUUCAACCUCUGCGGUCGUAUAAAGCUACGCCCUGCGGAGCAUCUGGUUCUUAUAUGUUCCGUUAUGAAACUGAUAUUUGAGAUUGUACUUCCAUAAAGAAAUAGAGAACCAUCUAGGUCGUUUAAUAAACAUUUAAUAUACGUUCUUACUCCAGGGUUUGUUUUGGAAAUUAUGCGCAUGCGUAUGGUUUUCUUGACUUCAAGGGGUUUUAGAUUGAAUGGUUGCUCUGGAUUCUCCACUCAAUUAAUUAAUUUAUAACUCAUGGGAUCUUUUCUAUGUAUGUCUGCUAUUGAAGGUUAUUGUUGUUGCAUAAUUUUAAAUCAUAUGCAUCAUUUAAAUUAAAAUAAAUUUAGUCCUCAUCGUAGAACACCCCUUCAGGGGAAAUGGAGUCUUCCAUAUUAUCGUUUCGAGUUGUCUCCCUGCCAGAAGUAACUUCCGUGAAUUCUGAAUCAAAACAACACGUCGAGUAUUAGCUCGUUCUGUCAAUAAACGUCGUAUUAUAUUAAAAACGAUC
This 747-nucleotide long non-coding RNA is filed under the name Mytilus galloprovincialis (Mediterranean mussel). The record is from RNAcentral. Lineage: Eukaryota; Metazoa; Mollusca; Bivalvia; Mytilida; Mytilidae.